GUCUUUUUGUAAGUAUAAAAAGUCCGGUCUGCCCACUGAUGAAAGUAUUAAAGGGCCGCAGUAUUUUAACUGUGCAAAGGUAGCAUAAUCACUAGUUCUUUAAUUGAGAUCUUGAAUGAAUGAUUAGACAAAAAAAUUACUGUCUUUAUGAUAAUAAUUGAAUUUAACUUUUAAGUGAAAAGGCUUAAAUAGUUUGAAGUGACGAUAAGACCCUAUAAAGCUUAAUAUUAUUAUAAAAUUUUUGGUAAGUUAAAUAUAAAGUUUUAAGGUUUAUUAAUAUUUUAUUGGGGCGAUAGAAGUAAAAGGUUUAAUAACUGCUUUUUUUUUAAUCAAGUAUAAAUGAUUAAUAUAUAAAUGAUCUUAUUUUAUAGAGUAAAAGAUUAAGUUACUUUAGGGAUAACAGCGUUAUUUUUCUUGAGAGUUCUUAUCGAAAGAAAAGAUUGCGACCUCGAUGUUGAAUUAAAAUAUCUAUAUAAUUGUAGUAGUUAUAUGAGAAGGUCUGUUCGACCUUUAAAUUUUUACGUGAUUUGAGUUCAGACCGGUUUAAACCAGGUCGGUUUCUAUCUUUUAAUUAAAUUGUAAUUAUUUUA
Molecule: ribosomal RNA, 590 nt
Filed under: Opecarcinus sp. SET9
Lineage: Eukaryota; Metazoa; Arthropoda; Malacostraca; Decapoda; Cryptochiridae
Description: partial ribosomal RNA
Rfam family: Bacterial large subunit ribosomal RNA
Source: RNAcentral